GGGGCCGUAGCUCAGUUGGGAGAGCGUCGCGUUCGCAAUGCGAAGGUCGGGGGAGUUCGAGCCUCCCCGGCUCCACCA
RNAcentral lists this transfer RNA (78 nucleotides) under Gammaproteobacteria bacterium. Its description in RNAcentral is "tRNA-Ala". It matches the Rfam family "tRNA". Rfam says of the family: Transfer RNA (tRNA) molecules are approximately 80 nucleotides in length. Their secondary structure includes four short double-helical elements and three loops (D, anti-codon, and T loops). Further hydrogen bonds mediate the characteristic L-shaped molecular structure. tRNAs have two regions of fundamental functional importance: the anti-codon, which is responsible for specific mRNA codon recognition, and the 3' end, to which the tRNAs corresponding amino acid is attached (by aminoacyl-tRNA synthetases). tRNAs cope with the degeneracy of the genetic code in two manners: having more than one tRNA (with a specific anti-codon) for a particular amino acid; and 'wobble' base-pairing, i.e. permitting non-standard base-pairing at the 3rd anti-codon position. Lineage: Bacteria; Pseudomonadati; Pseudomonadota; Gammaproteobacteria. The record is from RNAcentral.